AGGUGUAGAGUGAGUUAUCUGUUCCUUUAGGUUGGCAGGCCUAAAGGGCAAAUGUACGCAUUGCCUCAAGGCAUACUGCCCG
This is a regulatory RNA element of Prochlorococcus marinus subsp. marinus str. CCMP1375, 82 nucleotides long. It matches the Rfam family "Cyanobacterial ribosomal protein S1 leader". From Rfam's summary of the family: cyano-S1 is a ncRNA recognized in the 5-prime region of genes encoding 30S ribosomal protein S1, it has been proposed as an cis regulation element. The record is from Rfam. NCBI's taxonomy places the organism in Bacteria, Bacillati, Cyanobacteriota, Cyanophyceae, Synechococcales, Prochlorococcaceae.